This is a long non-coding RNA of Perca fluviatilis (European perch), 254 nucleotides long. RefSeq lists it as uncharacterized. NCBI's taxonomy places the organism in Eukaryota, Metazoa, Chordata, Actinopteri, Perciformes, Percidae. The record is from RefSeq and is a predicted model, not a curated record. The transcript is spliced from 3 exons.
AGCAGAGACCAGAGUCUCCUGAACCUGAACCUGAACCUGAACCCGAACCCAGCUGUGUGUUCUUUAAGAGCGACCGGUCAAAUUAUCAACAACCCUAUGCUGAAACGAGGAUCCUUCAAAGACCAGACUCUGCUGAACCUGAACCCAGCUGUGUGUCCUUCAAGAGUGACUGGUCAAUAUAUCACCUCAUUGACUUUAAAGGUCAACAACCCACUGCUGAAAAGAGAGUGGACCAGGAGAGCUCAGAGGUUCUC